Molecule: ribosomal RNA, 428 nt
Filed under: uncultured bacterium
Lineage: Bacteria
Description: bacterial SSU rRNA
Rfam family: Bacterial small subunit ribosomal RNA
Source: RNAcentral
UCAAGAACAUUUGGCAAUGGGCGAAAGCCUGACCAUGCGACGCCGCGUGCUGGACGAAGUCCUUCGGGACGUAAACAGCUUUUAUGCGUGAGGAAGUAAUUGACGUUAGCGCAUGAAUAAGGGGCUCCUAACUCUGUGCCAGCAGGAGCGGUAAUACAGAGGCCCCAAGCAUUAUCCGGAAUCACUGGGCGUAAAGGGUGUGUAGGCGGCGCUGUUAGUCCUUUGUAAAAGCAUCCCGACUUAAUCGGGAUAAUGCGGAGGAAACGGCAGCGCUUGAGGACGCGAGAGGUAGAGGGAACUCAUGGUGUAGGGGUGAAAUCCGUUGAUAUCAUGGGGAACACCAAAUGCGAAGGCACUCUACUGGCGCGCUCCUGACGCUGAGACACGAAAGCGUGGGUAGCGAACGGGAUUAGAUACCCCCGUAGUCC